CACCGGAACCGGAGAUGUGUUCCCGAGAUUGUAGACACGUAACUGAGCCGGUCCUCGCUUCUUUCCGCCGCUUCCCGUGCUCUUCUCCGCCGUAUCCAACGCACCGACACAUCCUUUAACGAUGUCGUCGAUGUAGGUGAAGUCACGCGCCACUUCUUGAUUGUCCUGAGUUCGGUAAAUGUCGAUAGACUUCCCGUGGAGUAUGUCUUUAGUGAAGAAGAAGUAAGCCAUGUCUGGUCUUCCCCAAGGACCGUAAACCGUAAAGAACCGGAGUCCGGUUAAGGAAAGACCGUAGAUGUGGUUGUAAGUGUGAGCUAUCUCCUCCCCUGCUUUCUUCGUCGCCGCGUAGAGAUCCGUCGUCGGUUUAUACCCGAAAUCUCUAUACGCUAAGCUCACAUUCGCAUGCGUGUACGGCACGUCACCGUUUCUAGGCAUUUUGAUCAGAUGAUUCUUCGCUUUCGUCCCCAACAACCCUUCCAAUAUCGAAACCAAUCUCCCCACCGGAACCGGAGAUGUGUUCCCGAGAUUGUAGACACGUAACUGAGCCGGUCCUCGCUUCUUUCCGCCGCUUCCCGUGCUCUUCUCCGCCGUAUCCAACGCACCGACACAUCCUUUAACGAUGUCGUCGAUGUAGGUGAAGUCACGCGCCACUUCUUGAUUGUCCUGAGUUCGGUAAAUGUCGAUAGACUUCCCGUGGAGUAUGUCUUUAGUGAAGAAGAAGUAAGCCAUGUCUGGUCUUCCCCAAGGACCGUAAACCGUAAAGAACCGGAGUCCGGUUAAGGAAAGACCGUAGAUGUGGUUGUAAGUGUGAGCUAUCUCCUCCCCUGCUUUCUUCGUCGCCGCGUAAAGACUCGCCGGCUGAUCCGUUCUGUGUUCUUCAGAGAAGGGAUUCUCGGUGUUGAGACCGUACACGGAGCUAGACGAAGCCCAGACGAUCGCAGGCUGAGGGUUAGCUGCUUUGGCUACUUCGAGGAGGUUAACGAGACCAGCGAUGUUUGAGCUGAUAUAAGACUGAGGGUUCUUCAUGGCGUAACGAACUCCGGCUUGAGCUGCUAAGUGGAGGACGUGAGUGAAAGGGACGAUGUCGAAGAGCUUGCGCAGGAGAGGUCCGUCGUUGAGAUCUCCUUCGACGAUGAACACUUGGUUCUUCUCUAGGAGGUGUUGUCUCGCUCUUUUGAGUGAUGGAUCGUAGUAGUCGUUGAAGUUGUCGAAUCCUAAGACUCCGUCGCCGCGUUUCCUAAGUGCGAUUGAGCAGUGAGAUCCGACGAAUCCGGCAGCUCCGGUUACGAGGACGGAGAGGCCGUGUUGUCGUUUUGCUGUUGAGGAUUGUCUUACUCGCUUCUCCCAAGCGGCUCCUUCGCCUAGAGACGAGGAGGAAGAGAAGAGUCCAGUGGAUAAGAAGCUGCGUCGGUGGAGAUGGUGGCUGUCGGAGUGUGGAUGGUAGUUGACUGCGAAGAGUAGGACAAGAACUAGAGCGAUGAGGAGUGUUGCUCGGAAAAGAACUUUAGAAGAAGCUUUGAGAACUUUUGUGCUGUGGAUCUUGCGGAGGUAGCUGUUGUACCUCUCCAGCUUCACCGUCUUGCUUGUAUCCCCCGGCGCCGACAGUGGCAUUUUUGUCUUUUUGAUGUGAACAAUUCGNNNNNNNNNNNNNNNNNNNNNNNNNNNNNNNNNNNNNNNNNNNNNNNNNNNNNNNNNNNNNNNNNNNNNNNNNNNNNNNNNNNNNNNNNNNNNNNNNNNNNNNNNNNNNNNNNNNNNNNNNNNNNNNNNNNNNNNNNNNNNNNNNNNNNNNNNNNNAAAAAUUGUAUAGUUAUUAAAAAUUAUAACUAAACAAUAUUUAUAAAAUUUGUAGAUAUCUAAAAGAAACUAAUGAAAUUACGAUUAACAAUUUAUUAAUUUUUUAAAAAAGAUGUAGAAAAUUUUGAAAAUAUUAGUAAUAAAAAUUGUAUAAUUACAAAAAUACAUUUAAAUAAUGUAUCUCGAAAUUUAUAAUGCAUAUUUCAAUAUAUUUAUUUUAGUGAUGAUUUAUGAAUUAUUACCGUAUUUUAAAAAGUUUAACAAAAAUAUAAAUCAAUAUUAAAUGUAAUGUAUUAGUUAUUGUCAAAUUGUACCCUCUCUUUUUUUUUGUUCUUCCAUUAUAACAUACAGCUGUAACAAUAUAAUUCCCCACUUUUAUCCCCUAAAAAAGGACCACCAUAAAAAAAUUUUUAAAAAAGGAAAAGUACAGAAAUCUGUCCCUGUAAAUAUAUUUUUUUAAAAAAAAAAGAAAAAUAAACAGGCAUGUGAUGAUGAUGAAGCAGAGAGAUUAUUAAGCGGAUUCGUCGGCGUGAGAGUUUUCCUUUUUCACCCUCGGCUGUAUCCCAUAAUAACUAACGUACCACUUGACGAACUUCCUCAACCCCGCCGCGAGAUCCGUCGUCGGUUUAUACCCGAAAUCUCUAUACGCUAAGCUCACAUUCGCAUGCGUGUACGGCACGUCACCGUUUCUAGGCAUUUUGAUCAGAUGCUUCUUCGCUUUCGUCCCCAACAACCCUUCCAAUAUCGAAACCAAUCUCCCCACCGGAACCGGAGAUGUGUUCCCGAGAUUGUAGACACGUAACUGAGCCGGUCCUCGCUUCUUUCCGCCGCUUCCCGUGCUCUUCUCCGCCGUAUCCAACGCACCGACACAUCCUUUAACGAUGUCGUCGAUGUAGGUGAAGUCACGCGCCACUUCUUGAUUGUCCUGAGUUCGGUAAAUGUCGAUAGACUUCCCGUGGAGUAUGUCUUUAGUGAAGAAGAAGUAAGCCAUGUCUGGUCUUCCCCAAGGACCGUAAACCGUAAAGAACCGGAGUCCGGUUAAGGAAAGACCGUAGAUGUGGUUGUAAGUGUGAGCUAUCUCCUCCCCUGCUUUCUUCGUCGCCGCGUAAAGACUCGCCGGCUGAUCCGUUCUGUGUUCUUCAGAGAAGGGAUUCUCGGUGUUGAGACCGUACACGGAGCUAGACGAAGCCCAGACGAUCGCAGGCUGAGGGUUAGCUGCUUUGGCUACUUCGAGGAGGUUAACGAGACCAGCGAUGUUUGAGCUGAUAUAAGACUGAGGGUUCUUCAUGGCGUAACGAACUCCGGCUUGAGCUGCUAAGUGGAGGACGUGAGUGAAAGGGACGAUGUCGAAGAGCUUGCGCAGGAGAGGUCCGUCGUUGAGAUCUCCUUCGACGAUGAACACUUGGUUCUUCUCUAGGAGGUGUUGUCUCGCUCUUUUGAGUGAUGGAUCGUAGUAGUCGUUGAAGUUGUCGAAUCCUAAGACUCCGUCGCCGCGUUUCCUAAGUGCGAUUGAGCAGUGAGAUCCGACGAAUCCGGCAGCUCCGGUUACGAGGACGGAGAGGCCGUGUUGUCGUUUUGCUGUUGAGGAUUGUCUUACUCGCUUCUCCCAAGCGGCUCCUUCGCCUAGAGACGAGGAGGAAGAGAAGAGUCCAGUGGAUAAGAAGCUGCGUCGGUGGAGAUGGUGGCUGUCGGAGUGUGGAUGGUAGUUGACUGCGAAGAGUAGGACAAGAACUAGAGCGAUGAGGAGUGUUGCUCGGAAAAGAACUUUAGAAGAAGCUUUGAGAACUUUUGUGCUGUGGAUCUUGCGGAG
Molecule: long non-coding RNA, 3604 nt
Filed under: Brassica napus (rape)
Lineage: Eukaryota; Viridiplantae; Streptophyta; Magnoliopsida; Brassicales; Brassicaceae
Description: long non-coding RNA (BNAP_LNC005795)
Source: RNAcentral